GAUGAACGCUGGCGGCGUGCUUAACACAUGCAAGUCGAACGGUGAACGAGGGAGCUUGCUCCCUCCGGAUCAGUGGCGAACGGGUGAGUAACACGUGAGCAAUCUGCCCUGGACUCUGGGAUAAGCGUUGGAAACGACGUCUAAUACCGGAUACGAGGCAUGGGGGCAUCCCCAACGCCUGGAAAGAACUUCGGUCCAGGAUGAGCUCGCGGCCUAUCAGGUAGUUGGUGAGGUAACGGCUCACCAAGCCUACGACGGGUAGCCGGCCUGGGAGGGUGACCGGCCGCACUGGGACUGGGACAAGGCCAAGACUCCUACGGGAGGCAGCAGUGGGGAAUAUUGCACAAUGGGCGCAAGCCUGAUGCAGCAACGCCGCGUGAGGGACGACGGCCUUCGGGUUGUAAACCUCUUUUAGCAGGGAAGAAGCGAAAGUGACGGUACCUGCAGAAAAAGCACCGGCUAACUACGUGCCAGCAGCCGCCGUAA
This 486-nucleotide ribosomal RNA is filed under the name uncultured bacterium. RNAcentral describes it as "partial 16S ribosomal RNA". It matches the Rfam family "Bacterial small subunit ribosomal RNA", at positions 28 to 523 of the family's 1533-position model. The record is from RNAcentral.